This 301-nucleotide ribosomal RNA is filed under the name uncultured bacterium. Its description in RNAcentral is "partial 16S ribosomal RNA". It matches the Rfam family "Bacterial small subunit ribosomal RNA", at positions 509 to 809 of the family's 1533-position model. The record is from RNAcentral.
CAGCCGCCGCGGUAAUACGUAGGGUGCAAGCGUUAAUCGGAAUUACUGGGCGUAAAGCGUGCGCAGGCGGUUCGGAAAGAAAGAUGUGAAAUCCCAGAGCUUAACUUUGGAACUGCAUUUUUAACUACCGGGCUAGAGUGUGUCAGAGGGGGGUGGAAUUCCACGUGUAGCAGUGAAAUGCGUAGAUAUGUGGAGGAACACCGAUGGCGAAGGCAGCCCCCUGGGAUAACACUGACGCUCAUGCACGAAAGCGUGGGGAGCAAACAGGAUUAGAUACCCCCGUAGUCCCUGUCUCUUAUAU